This 342-nucleotide unclassified non-coding RNA is filed under the name soil metagenome. RNAcentral describes it as "partial contains 5.8S ribosomal RNA, internal transcribed spacer 2, and large subunit ribosomal RNA". The stretch from base 1 to 120 matches the Rfam family "5.8S ribosomal RNA", at positions 35 to 154 of the family's 154-position model. The record is from RNAcentral.
GAUGAAGAACGUAGCGAAAUGCGAUAAGUAAUGUGAAUUGCAGAAUUCAGUGAAUCAUCGAAUCUUUGAACGCACAUUGCGCCCGCCAGUACUCUGGCGGGCAUGCCUGUCCGAGCGUCAUUUCGACCAUUCAAGCCCCCGGGCUUGUGUUGGGGUUCCUACGCGCAGCGCGUAGGCCCUGAAAACCAGUGGCGGGCUCGCUAUCACCCGAGCGUAGUAGUUAACAUCUCGCUCAGGGCGUUGCUGCGGGUCCCGGCCGUUAAAACCCCCUUGACUCUCCAAGGUUGACCUCGGAUCAGGUAGGAAUACCCGCUGAACUUAAGCAUAUCAAUAAGCGGAGGA